UACGAAGGGGGCUAGCGUUGCUCGGAAUCACUGGGCGUAAAGCGCACGUAGGCGGAUCUUUAAGUCGGGGGUGAAAUCCUGGAGCUCAACUCCAGAACUGCCUCCGAUACUGGGGAUCUUGAGUCCGAGAGAGGUGAGUGGAACUCCGAGUGUAGAGGUGAAAUUCGUAGAUAUUCGGAAGAACACCAGUGGCGAAGGCGGCUCACUGGCUCGGUACUGACGCUGAGGUGCGAAAGCGUGGGGAGCAAACAGG
RNAcentral lists this ribosomal RNA (253 nucleotides) under uncultured bacterium. Its description in RNAcentral is "partial 16S ribosomal RNA". It matches the Rfam family "Bacterial small subunit ribosomal RNA", at positions 524 to 776 of the family's 1533-position model. The record is from RNAcentral.